GAGGUGCAGCUGGUGGAGUCUGGGGGAGGCUUGGUACAGCCUGGGGGGUCCCUGAGACUCUCCUGUGCAGCCUCUGGAUUCACCUUUAGCAGCUAUGCCAUGAGCUGGGUCCGCCAGGCUCCAGGGAAGGGGCUGGAGUGGGUCUCAGUAGCACAUACUACGCAGACUCCGUGAAGGGCCGGUUCACCAUCUCCAGAGACAAUUCCAAGAACACGCUGUAUCUGCAAAUGAACAGCCUGAGAGCCGAGGACACGGCCGUAUAUUACUGUGCGACUUUGACUACUGGGGCCAGGGAACCCUGGUCACCGUCUCCUCA
This 316-nucleotide long non-coding RNA is filed under the name Homo sapiens (human). RNAcentral's name for it is "non-protein coding lnc-BRF1-31:13". Lineage: Eukaryota; Metazoa; Chordata; Mammalia; Primates; Hominidae. The record is from RNAcentral.